RNAcentral lists this long non-coding RNA (1987 nucleotides) under Marmota monax (woodchuck). The record is from RNAcentral. Lineage: Eukaryota; Metazoa; Chordata; Mammalia; Rodentia; Sciuridae.
GGAGGCCCAUGCAGCUCUGGCUGUAGCAUCAACCAGCGAUGGAACAUUAUACAGUCCUGAGGGUCCUGUGAUCUGUAAGAAGGAGAGACUCCGCGCUGUUGAUCUGACACCCUGCACCAGAGUGCCCCACGGCAAUCUGUCCUUCAGGCAGAAGGGAGGUACCAUGGAGACCACUGGAAACUCUGGAUGGCAGGAUUAGGUGUGGAAGAACUUCAAUACAGGAUCUCCAAAGGAAAGAACCACUCAACGCAUACCAGGGUGGACUGCCGCGGCCGGAGCCAGGCUGCAGAGGCCAGAGUUUAUCUCGGCUUCUACAUGGGGGACCUUGGGCCAAGGCUUUUGCCAACAGUCAGGGGUUUGUUUGUUUGGUUGGUUUUGCUUUUUGUCUUUUGUUUUUGUACUGGGGAUUGAACCCAGGAGCACCCGACCACUGAGCCACACCCCCAGCCUUUUUUAUAUUUUUAGAUAGGCUCUCACUGAGUUGCUUAGGACCUUGAUAAGUUGCUGAGGCUGGCUUUGAACUUGCCAUCCUCUUGCCUCAGCCUCCCAAGUCGCUGGGAUUACAGGCAUGCAUCAUUGUGCCCUGAAAGAGUCAGUUUCCUUCUCUAACAAAUGUGAUGCAUUGAAGUACCUACUGCAUAGGAUUGCUGUCAGGAUUGAGUUAACUCAUGCAUGUGCCAGAAACAGAGUAUGUACUCAACAAACUCUAGUUGGUGUUACUAAGGAAGACGUAAACAAUGGAAAGAAAUGGAGUGGUUUGUGCUUUGUUGGGGAGGGGGAUGUGAGAUGAUGAAAACAGGGGUCACUGAGAGCAUUUAAAGCAAAGCAGGAUUGCUGUGAAGUUGUUUAAAGUACUGUGGAGAACUACAGGGUGGGAUGAGAUAGGGGACUCUGGGUGAGAGGAGAGUGACAAGAAAAAGGAAAGAGGAUCAAAAAGAAUAUUCUGAAAAAAGCAAAGAGGAGCUGCCAGGUAUUGGAAGUGGCUCAGAAGUGGGAAUGACAUGAAAAUUCGGGAUUCCCCAUUAGACUGUGGAAAAGCCUUCUUUUGUUGUAACAGUGAAAAGGGGCUCUGAAAUUUUGUGCCUCGCAACAGGGCACUUGGAAAAUCCAGCUAAGUAGAAUUGACAGCGCUGAACAGGCUUCCUCAGAGGGGUCCACUAAUGAACUAAGCUCAAUAGAGACCUCUGUGCAGGUGUCCCCAUGGGCUUGCUUAGUUCCCACCUGAGUUGAAAGUCCCAUCAAGGGACUGAACCUUUCUGCAAAAAUCAGCCUGACGCUGGCAGCCUUCAGCAGCAGAAGGGAGGGAGGGAAGAAUUCGAUGGGAACUAGGACCUUCUGUGGUCUCCAGGUGAAAACCAUGCUCACCCUUUGUGAUGUCCACCUGCGUCAUUCUUAUCUCACCACUUCUCUGUAACAAGAGCCCCGUCCCCUCCUCAGUACCCUCUGCUGGUUUGUGAUGUGCCCACGUGAGAACCAAGGGGCAUCCCAAAUGGAGGGAUGUGAUGCAGUCCCCUAUGUGGGCAGCCUGUGUCCCCAGAGUCAGUUGUCAAGGAGAGGAAGGGACGUGUGGGCCCUCCUGGCCAACUCAGGCUGUCCUCAGUCUUGCACAUGCACAUGCAGUCAUUCCUCAGUGUCCUUGGGGGAUGGACUUGGGGACCCGCUCCUGCACCAAAAUCCCCAGAUGCUCAGGUUUCUUAUAUUAAAAUGGCAUGAUAAUUAUGCAUAACCUAUGAAUAUAGUUAUGUAUAACCUAUGAACAGCCCCCGCAUGCUUUAAAUCAUCUCUUGAUUACUCAUAAUACCUGUUACAGUAGAACUGCUGUGUAAUAGUUGUUUACCAUAUUGUUUGGGGAAUAAUGACAAGAAAAAAAAAUCUGUACAUGUUCAGUAUAGACACAUUUUUCUUUUCCUGAACGUUUCUGAUCUACAGUUGAUUAAAUCCAAAGAUGGGAAACUCAAAUAUGGAAGGCCAACUGCAUAUGGAGCUG